UACGGGGGGGGCAAGCGUUGUUCGGAAUUACUGGGCGUAAAGGGCUCGUAGGCGGCCAACUAAGUCAGACGUGAAAUCCCUCGGCUUAACCGGGGAACUGCAUCUGAUACUGGAUGGCUUGAGAUUGGGAGAGGGACGCGGAAUUCCAGGUGUAGCGGUGAAAUGCGUAGAUAUCUGGAGGAACACCGGUGGCGAAGGCGGCAUCCUGGACCAACACUGACGCUGAGGAGCGAAAGCGUGGGUAGCAAACAGG
RNAcentral lists this ribosomal RNA (253 nucleotides) under uncultured bacterium. RNAcentral's name for it is "partial 16S ribosomal RNA". It matches the Rfam family "Bacterial small subunit ribosomal RNA", at positions 524 to 776 of the family's 1533-position model. The record is from RNAcentral.